ACGGCUCAGUAACACGUGGACAACCUACCCUGAGGUCGGGGAUAAACCCGGGAAACUGGGUAUAAUACCCGAUAGAUCUAGAUCGCUGGAAUGCUUUUAGGUCUAAAGUUCCGACGCCUCAGGAUGGGUCUGCGGCCUAUCAGGGUAGUAGUGGGUGUAAAGUACCUACUAGCCCACGACGGGUACGGGUUGUGAGAGCAAGAGCCCGGAGAUGGAUUCUGAGACACGAAUCCAGGCCCUACGGGGUGCAGCAGGCGCGAAACCUUUACAAUGCUGGCAACAGCGAUAAGGGGACCUCGAGUGCUACGAUACAAUCGUGGCUGUCUAGUUGCCUAAAAAGCAAUUGAUAGCAAGGGCCGGGCAAGACCGGUGCCAGCCGCCGCGGUAACACCGGCGGCUCGAGUGGUAACCGCUAUUAUUGGGUCUAAAGGGUCUGUAGCCGGCUUAGUUAGUCUCUUGAGAAAUCUGGCCGCUCAACGGUCAGGCGUUCAGGGGAUACUGCUAAAGCUCGAGACCGGGAGAGGUGAGAGGUACUUCAGGGGUAGGGGUGAAAUCUUGUAAUCCUUGAAGGACCACCAGUGGCGAAGGCGUCUCACCAGAACGGAUCUGACGGCAAGGGACGAAAGCUAGGGGCACGAACCGGAUUAGAUACCCGGGUAGUCCUAGCCGUAAACGAUACUCGCUAGGUGUCGGCCACGGUGCGACCGUGGUCGGUGCCGUAGGGAAGCCGUGAAGCGAGCCACCUGGGAAGUACGGCCGCAAGGCUGAAACUUAAAGGAAUUGGCGGGGGAAUCA
This 795-nucleotide ribosomal RNA is filed under the name uncultured archaeon. Its description in RNAcentral is "bacterial SSU rRNA". It matches the Rfam family "Archaeal small subunit ribosomal RNA", at positions 85 to 879 of the family's 1478-position model. The record is from RNAcentral.